This 84-nucleotide transfer RNA is filed under the name Candidatus Woesearchaeota archaeon. Its description in RNAcentral is "tRNA-Ser". It matches the Rfam family "tRNA". Rfam says of the family: Transfer RNA (tRNA) molecules are approximately 80 nucleotides in length. Their secondary structure includes four short double-helical elements and three loops (D, anti-codon, and T loops). The record is from RNAcentral. Lineage: Archaea; Nanobdellati; Candidatus Woesearchaeota.
GCCGAGAUGGCGCAACCUGGUACCGCGCAAGCCUGGAAAGCUUGUUUCCGAAAGGAUUUCUGGGUUCAAAUCCCAGCCUCGGCG